RNAcentral lists this ribosomal RNA (250 nucleotides) under uncultured bacterium. Its description in RNAcentral is "partial 16S ribosomal RNA". It matches the Rfam family "Bacterial small subunit ribosomal RNA", at positions 806 to 1058 of the family's 1533-position model. The record is from RNAcentral.
ACGAUGAGCACUAGGUGUCGGGGUCGUAAGGCUUCGGUGCCGUAGUUAACGCAUUAAGUGCUCCGCCUGGGGAGUACGCACGCAAGUGUGAAACUCAAAGGAAUUGACGGGGACCCGCACAAGCAGCGGAGCAUGUGGUUUAAUUCGAAGCAACGCGAAGAACCUUACCAGGACUUGACAUCCUUCUGACCGGUCUUUAAUAGGACCUUUCUUUUGACAGAAGAGACAGGUGGUGCAUGGCUGUCGUCAG